This 240-nucleotide unclassified non-coding RNA is filed under the name soil metagenome. RNAcentral's name for it is "partial contains 5.8S ribosomal RNA, internal transcribed spacer 2, and large subunit ribosomal RNA". The record is from RNAcentral.
AACAUCGCGCACCUGCGGGAACCUGCGGAAGGAUCAUUACAGAGUUGCAAAACUCCCUAAACCAUUGUGAACGUUACCUAAACCGUUGCUUCGGCGGGCGGCCCGGGUCCUUCCCGGCGCCCCCCGGCCCUCGCGGGCGCCCGCCGGAGGUAAACCAAACUAUUGCAUUGUAUGGCCUCUCUGAGUCUUCUGUACUGAAUAAGUCAAAACUUUUAACAAUGGAUCUCAGAUCGGAAGAGC